RNAcentral lists this long non-coding RNA (421 nucleotides) under Pan troglodytes (chimpanzee). Its description in RNAcentral is "long non-coding RNA NONPTRT008127". Lineage: Eukaryota; Metazoa; Chordata; Mammalia; Primates; Hominidae. The record is from RNAcentral.
CAGAGCUGCAGGUGGAAUUCUACACUGGGACAAAUGAGGACUCAGACAUCGCCUUCCAUUUCUGAGUGCACUUUGGCCAUUGUCUGGCCAUUGGCAGCCAUGUGUGUAGGGCCUGGAAGUGUGAGAGGAGAUGCCACGAUGUGCCCUUUUAGGAUGGCAAGCCAUUUGAUCUGAGCAUCUUGGUGCUGGACAAUGAAUACCAGGUAAUAAUAAAUAGCCGACACGGUUGCAGCUUUGUCCAUAACUCCCACCAUGUUCUGUGAAGAUGGUGCAAGUGUGGAGAGAUGUCUCCCUGACCUCAAUGUCUGUCUGCAGUUGAGGCAGAUGAUCACACUCCUCAUUGUUGAGGAAUCCCUCUUUCUAUGUGACCAUAGGAUUUCCAGAGCCCACUAACAGCAUGAUCUCUCCUCACUGUUUCUGC